This 253-nucleotide ribosomal RNA is filed under the name uncultured bacterium. Its description in RNAcentral is "partial 16S ribosomal RNA". It matches the Rfam family "Bacterial small subunit ribosomal RNA", at positions 524 to 776 of the family's 1533-position model. The record is from RNAcentral.
GACGAACCGUGCGAACGUUGUUCGGAAUCACUGGGCAUAAAGGGCGCGUAGGCGGCUCGCGAGGUCGGGGGUGAAAUCCCACAGCUUAACUGUGGAAGUGCCUUCGAUACCGGCGGGCUGGAGGAAGGUAGGGGUGCGCGGAACUUCUGGUGGAGCGGUGAAAGUGCGUUGAUAUCAGAAGGAACGCCGGCGGCGAAAGCGGCGCACUGGACCUUUCUGACGCUGAGGCGCGAAAGCCAGGGGAGCAAACGGG